UACAGAGACUGCAAGCGUUAUUCGGAUUCACUGGGCGUAAAGGGUGCGCAGGCGGCCGGGUGUGUCAGAUGUGAAAUCCCGAGGCUCAACCUCGGAACUGCGUCUGAAACUACUCGGCUAGAGUAUUGGAGAGGGUAACGGAAUUCACGGUGUAGCAGUGAAAUGCGUAGAGAUCGGGAGGAACAUCUGUGGCGAAGGCGGCCAUCUGGACCAGCACUGACACUGAGGCACGAAAGCGUGGGGAGCAAACAGG
This 253-nucleotide ribosomal RNA is filed under the name uncultured bacterium. RNAcentral describes it as "partial 16S ribosomal RNA". It matches the Rfam family "Bacterial small subunit ribosomal RNA", at positions 524 to 776 of the family's 1533-position model. The record is from RNAcentral.